UACAGAGGUCCCGAGCGUUGUUCGGAUUCAUUGGGCGUAAAGGGUGCGUAGGCGGCGGGGCAAGUCUGAUGUGAAAUCCUGGGGCUCAACCCCAGAACUGCGUCUGAUACUGGACGGCUUGAGUUCGGGAGAGGGAAGUGGAAUUCCAGGUGUAGCGGUGAAAUGCGUAGAUAUCUGGAGGAACACCGGUGGCGAAGGCGGCUCACUGGCCCGAUACUGACGCUGAGGUGCGAAAGCGUGGGGAGCAAACAGG
This 253-nucleotide ribosomal RNA is filed under the name uncultured bacterium. RNAcentral's name for it is "partial 16S ribosomal RNA". It matches the Rfam family "Bacterial small subunit ribosomal RNA", at positions 524 to 776 of the family's 1533-position model. The record is from RNAcentral.